This 61-nucleotide small nuclear RNA is filed under the name Pongo abelii (Sumatran orangutan). Lineage: Eukaryota; Metazoa; Chordata; Mammalia; Primates; Hominidae. The record is from RNAcentral.
GUGCUGGCUUGAGGGGUACAUAUACUAAAAUUGAAACAAUGUCAAGAAGAUCAGCAUGGUC